Molecule: long non-coding RNA, 830 nt
Filed under: Nicotiana tabacum (common tobacco)
Lineage: Eukaryota; Viridiplantae; Streptophyta; Magnoliopsida; Solanales; Solanaceae
Description: long non-coding RNA (NTAB_LNC007573)
Source: RNAcentral
AAAUUUAGUUAUGACUAACUUACUUCACCAGAUGCAAGGAAAUAUUACUGAUAAACUGUUUAUACUAUUGAAGAUUCUACGUGGAUGCGGUACCCAUUAGAGUCUACAAGAACAACGAAGCAAAAGGAAUUCCAUUCCCCAAAUUCCAACCCAUGGGAGUGUACUCAACAUUGUGGGAAGCCGACGACUGGGCAACGAGAGGUGGAUUAGAGAAAAUAAAUUGGAGCAAAUCCCCAUUUUACGCAUAUUACAAGGACUUUGACAUAGAGGGAUGUGCAAUGCCAGGACCAGCAAACUGUGCCUCAAAUCCUCGCAAUUGGUGGGAAGGAGCUAAUUACCAACAACUCAGUGCUGCGGAAGCAAGGCAAUAUCGCUGGGUUAGAAUGAACCACAUGAUCUAUGAUUAUUGCACCGACAAAUCCAGAAAUCCAGUCACCCCACCAGAAUGUGUGGCUGGAAUAUGAAACUUUACAUCAACUGUUAAUUAUUUAUACAUAUUCAUUCCUACUUAUAGAUAUCCGUACAUGUGACCCUACAAAAGAAAAUUGUUAUAUUUGUAUUGAUAUGGACAGUCAUGCUCAUGUCUGGAUGCUCGGUGAUAUUGUGAACGUGAGAUGAGUACUAAGAUUAAGGAGUGGGAAAAAGUCAGAUGUUUAUUGCUGUAAUAUAUAUAUUGAUGUUGUUUGUAUUUGCUGUACACUGUACGAGAGCCAAUAAUGUUUCUUCUUGUUUGCUUAAGAAAUGUGAAAAGGAUGUGAUGUUUAUUCCUCUUUUGUCUAAAUGAUUUUCAACCUCGAAGUAAAUUGCUACUCAUCAAGUUCUGAUUUUGC